CCGCUACAAGAAACUUAAAGGAAAUUGACGGGGGCCCGCACAAGCGGUGGAGCAUGUGGUUUAAUUCGAUGAUACGCGAGGAACCUUACCUGGGCUCAAAUGUAUGUUGACGUAUUCUGAAAGGGAUACUUCUUCGGACAAUAUACAAGGUGCUGCAUGGUUGUCGUCAGCUCGUGCCGUGAGGUGUCGGGUUAAGUCCCAUAACGAGCGCAACCCCUAUCAUUAGUUGCCAUCGGGUAAUGCCGGGCACUCUGGAAGGACUGCCAUCGACAAGAUGGAGGAAGGUGGGGAUGACGUCAAGUCAUCAUGGCCCUUAUGUCCAGGGCGACACACGUGCUACAAUGGCCGGCACAACGGGAAGCGAGUUCGCGAGGACGAGCGGAUCCCUCAAAGCCGGUCGCAGUUCGGAUUGAAGUCUGCAACUCGACUUCAUGAAGCUGGAAUCGCUAGUAAUCGUGGAUCAGCCAAGCCGCGGUGAAUACGUUCCCGGGCCUU
RNAcentral lists this ribosomal RNA (495 nucleotides) under uncultured Synergistaceae bacterium. RNAcentral's name for it is "bacterial SSU rRNA". It matches the Rfam family "Bacterial small subunit ribosomal RNA", at positions 903 to 1382 of the family's 1533-position model. Lineage: Bacteria; Thermotogati; Synergistota; Synergistia; Synergistales; Synergistaceae. The record is from RNAcentral.